This 78-nucleotide small nuclear RNA is filed under the name Naja naja (Indian cobra). RNAcentral's name for it is "U2 spliceosomal RNA (ENSNNAG00000011482.1)". It matches the Rfam family "U2 spliceosomal RNA", at positions 1 to 117 of the family's 192-position model. From Rfam's summary of the family: U2 is a small nuclear RNA (snRNA) component of the spliceosome (involved in pre-mRNA splicing). Complementary binding between U2 snRNA (in an area lying towards the 5' end but 3' to hairpin I) and the branchpoint sequence (BPS) of the intron results the bulging out of an unpaired adenosine, on the BPS, which initiates a nucleophilic attack at the intronic 5' splice site, thus starting the first of two transesterification reactions that mediate splicing. Lineage: Eukaryota; Metazoa; Chordata; Lepidosauria; Squamata; Elapidae. The record is from Rfam by way of RNAcentral.
AUCGCUUCUCGGCCUUUUGGCUAAGAUCAAGUGUAGUAUAGGAUAAAAAAGAAAAAAACAGUAUUCUAAAGAAUCUAA